This is a long non-coding RNA of Chelonia mydas (Green sea turtle), 8633 nucleotides long. RefSeq lists it as uncharacterized. The record is from RefSeq and is a predicted model, not a curated record. Lineage: Eukaryota; Metazoa; Chordata; Testudines; Cheloniidae. The transcript has 3 exons.
GUGGCUGCUGAGCUGAUACUGUGUUGACAGAUACUACAGGCAAAUAACACUUGGUGUGAAACUGAAAGGUGGGAGCCCAGCUUCCACAUCAAGGCUUGGUAUUGCUGCUGCUGGCAUCCCUCUCUCUCUUUUCUCAUAAGAUGGCUCCUCCAACACUCCAGGACUAACCCCUUCUCAGUCAAGGGAGGGCCAGGCAGGGCCAUGAACCUAGCUUGCACAACGCUGCUGUCCUGAUUCUGACAGCACUAGCAGCCUCGCCCUCUUUGGCUGCAGCAAUGUGGUCCUGCCAAGAGUUUCUCUCUUUAGACCCCCUGCUGUUGUAGCCUUACUGUAUUCCCUGCUCGCUGAUGCUGCUUCUCCUGUCACCUCUCUACCCUAUCUUGAUACACCUGCUCUACUGAACAGCUUUAUGACACUUUCGAAGCCACUGCUAGCUAACUCCUGUUUCCCGAGAGUGCAGCGUGCCAGAACCGUGAGACAGUCACCUGUGCAUGAACACCGUAGCUCAGCACGAGUUUAUUACCCACCUUUGCUUUGUUUAGGUCUGCCCUGUCCUCCAGUGUUGACAUAGGGAUUUUUUCUGAAAAGGGUUACCCUUUUGUAAGGGAGCUGCACAUAUCAAAGGCAGAGUCUGGCAACUGUUCUUCAUGCAGAACUGGUGGCAUGUACACUCUACUGAAGUCAGCGGAGAGACUCAGUAUUCACACCAGUGGUAACUGAGAGAGAAAUUUGGCCCACUGAGUGGUAAGUAGUGAGGUAAAAAGUUUAGCCCAGGGAGCUGGCAGGAGUUACAGGACAAAUUCAUAGGUUGUGUUUUGAAGGAAGGUGUCAAAACCCACAAGGGCUUUAGAUGAUGAGAUGAAACACAGUGGUAGUUCAGUGAGUGGGCUAAAACACUGUUAAUCCUCUGUCAAUCCCCUGCUUUCCUCUCUUCAGCCACCGAUACUGGUCUGUAGUAGGGAUGGGUGGACUGCUUUGAUAAAAGAAGAGCCCUCCUACCCCUUUCUUCUGAACCAUAAUCUAUUUCUAGCACUGCGCCUAGUCUCAAAAAGAGAUCUGGAUUGCACUGUGAUGUAAAGUGCUACAUCUGCAAAUUGCCACAAGGUGACAGUGUUUCAGAGCAAUAUUGAAGCAUAAUUUUAUAGCUCCUUCCUGUUGUUUUUUCAUAAUGUAAAGUGAAACUAUGUCAUUACUGAAUCCUAACUAAAAUGAUCUGGUACCGCCAAAUUAUCACUAAGCAACAGUUGUCGAAAUGCUUAGGGUAAUUAAAGCCAUAAUUGUGUAAGUCUGGGGUAGGCUGCCUGAAAUCACCAUAGAAAUGAUUUUGCCUCUUCUUCAUCUGUCCAAAUUCAUUGUUCUUAAAUCAAGAAUGUUUGCUUCUCCUUGUGGAUUGCCUGUGAACGUUCCGGCUUGUGGGAUGUCGGACUCUGAACCUUGGGACUUCAGGAUACCAGUGCCUCUUAGAGCCGACAAACACCAUUUUGCAACACUCCUUGUUUAGAGCUGAGGUUAUAAAAGUGUCAUGUGACCCCAGCCACCUACAUUCCUUCUUUCCCAAGCCCAGCUGUGGAUGUAAGGACCUUCUGUCAGUGCGUGUAGCAACUUCUGAUGCACAACUCCCUUAAUUUCUAGUGUAUUAGGUACUUAGCUAGUUAGCAAAUAUUAGGUAGUUUACAUGAUUUGGCAUUUAGUUUAUUCUGGGCCUUGGGUCCUCAGAGCUUUCGGUCAGGGCUGGUCCAAUCGCCAAGGAAUCAGAUAAGCAGGGCAGAUUUAAGUAAUAUGCGUUGUGGGCCUUCACGUUCCCUAAGCAUAUUGAUUGUUUGUUCAGCCUGGGGGAAGAGCAUUCCUCAUAUCACUGCUUGGUGCAUAGAGCCUCUACACCCCAGUCCCACACAGACAGGUUGUGGAGGCUCUGGGGCUUCCUCACCAGCAGCCUCACAUGCCAGGUUGCUGGAUCCAAUGUCAGAUCAGCCAUCCGUCUCUAUGAAGGGACAGAGCACUCUAUCUUGGGCUUCAAAGUCAGGGACAGUCCUGAGGUCAAAGUCCACUGCAGAUAGAUCAGGUUCCAGUGCAGUAGUGUAGGACCCAAGUCUUCUGCAGGGGCUGAAAUCUCAUUGGCACUGAGAAGAGCAGCUUUAAGAAGUGAGCCUGCCAAUGCUAGAAUUUCACCAGUGCCAUGGCUGAUUUUUCACUUAUUCGGAACCCAUUGAUGCGGGUCCAUCGUUGGUGCCAUUUGCCCUGCAGGUAGCUAAGAAAUUGGAUACUAAGGAAGCAUUCACAGUGACAAAGAUUUUUCAGUGCCAAAAGCCAGUGGAGGUCCUCAUUUAAUCCCCAGGUGUUCAUCGAUGCCAAGGAAAUCGGUACGAGGUCCUUAUUGUGACUGUCACCUCAGUUUCAAGUAAUCCUCAUUUCAAGGACACUUCAGUGCCUCUCCACUGCCAUCAAACUAAAAAAAGUUUAAAAAAAAAAAAAGGACCAAGAGAUUUUUGGUAUUGGAGCUCUGGGCACCAUCUCAAAAGGGUGGGAGGAAGAAACGUCACUAUAGGUAUGUCUGUAAUGCAAUCCAAGGGGUGACUGCAGCUCGGGUAGACAUACCUGCUCCAGCUUUGCCUGGGCUAGCAUUGCUAAAAAUAGCAGUGUAAAUGUGGUGGUCCAGGCUUCAACACAGGCUAUACAAGCCCUCUUGGAACCGUGGGUACCUACUUGCAUCGCCAAAGCCUGUGCCACCGCAUCUCUGCUGCUAUUUUUCUCAGUGCUAGUGCAGGUAUGUCUACCUAUGCCGAGAUCACAGCGUGAGUUGCAAUAGAGACAUACCCUGUGAGACUAGGGACGUUGUGGCUGAGAUAUCUACCAUGGCGCCUUUGAUGCUGAGGGCUCCUGCACCUCUUUUCUGCCCCAACAUCUGUGUUUGGUGCAAAUGUCAGAAUGAAUAUUAGAGCAUCACUUUCUGAAUUCAAGACUGUCUGGAAGCAUGGCAUCCCUUGUCUCUGCAUUGCAAAUGCAAAUGUGUACAUACCAGGGACUAAUUGUAGUAUUUCAGCUAUUGUGGUGUCUGAUAGUAUGCGUAAGUAUCCUUUGUACAGAAUCACAUUCCAAGCUGCGGUUUCUCCUCUCAAAUGCCAGUUACGUUUUCUCAGGCAGUUUGAAACCAUGCUGCAAUGCUGGGACAGCUUGUUUCAUUUUCAAGGCUGCUCUAACUUGACUUUGGAACUGAUGAUACUUGAGCCAUUCAUUCUUUAUGCUUCAGUUCGCUGCUAUGAACUGUUGAAUGUAACACGAAGAUCUGUCCUAGAUCUAUGCUUCCUAUCAAAUUAAUAUAUAUCUCUGUAUCUUUUUUGAAAACUAGGGGAGUGUUUUGCACAGAGUUUCUCUGGAUAUGUCCUCUAGAAGAUUGUGAUCUGCUUUAAUAACUGAUUACUGUUGACAUUUUACAAUCUGUGGAACUUUUCACAUCCAAAAAUAAUAAUCUUUGUGUUUGAUAAAUUCAAGAUACAGGACCAGAAUCUCUGCUGGUGUAACUCCAUUAUCUGAGUGGCUUUAAGACAGCAGAGUAUUAAUCUCACAUUCUCCUGUGUACAUUAUUAAGUCUAAGGAUAUUCAGAAAAUGACCUUGUUUUGUGAUCUUUCCAUCUCAAGAAUUUCUUGAAUCUUUCUGGGGACUGGAUGAAUUCUUUUGUCACUGAGUGCCCAUUCCCUGCAUCUCCGUGUUGCUAAUUUCAUUGAACCAAUCAGACAUUUGUUUCAUUUUAAUUGGUUUGGUUUUGGUUUGUAGCCUUUUAAAAAAAAAUUAGCUGGAUGUUUUCCGAUCACCAAGUCCCCUCCUGUUAUUUCAACAUGAUGCUCUGAGAUACAACUUUUCACAUAGUCCUAAUAAUAAGUCUUUUAAAACAUUUUAUUCUGUUAUUCAGUACAUACUAACAAACAGCCAUUUUAAGGGAUUUAUUAGCAUGGGAAGAAGCAAACUAAACAAUCAUAAUUAAUUACAAGUUGGAGAGGCCUUUGGCCUCUGAUGGUCAGGAGGUGUCAAAACACUAGCUAGGGAUCAGAUGAGUAUGAAGGAGACCCAUCCACCCCUUCCCUACUUUUGUUCCAGCCACACUCCCUCCACUGACAGCAUGGUUGGGGGGAGGGUACAGAAGCUGCAACACUGUCUAUACCCCACUAGAGGAUUCCCCUACAAAACUGCCAGGGUCUGCUAUUAAUUAUUAUUAUUUUGUUUUAUUGUUCCCUUAUUUGUGUGAUAGUAGAACCUAAAGGGACCAACAAAGAUGCUAUACGAACACAUAGGAGGAGACAGUUUCUGCCGAAAAUUGCUUACAAUCUAACUAGACAAGAAAGAAGUUUGAGAGGGGAAACAGAGGUACAGCUAGGUGAAAUGACUUGGCCAGAAGGUUAGUGGCAGAGCCAAAAACAGAAUCCAGAUGUCCCAAGUCACAGUCUGGUUCCCUAUUCAUUGGAUUAGGUUGCUCAGUGUUAGCAGUGCGAUACCUAAGGGGGCACAGUGCAGAAUCUGGGCAAAAUCUCAUCACAGUUCUGUCUCAUGGAAAUUUAAAGCUGAAUUUUCCACUUACCCAAAAGGUCAGUGAAUACACUAGAUGAAAGUUGAUCUUCAUAUAUGUUCCAGCCAGAGGCGACGUGUGAGGAAGGCGGGGGGCAAGGGGGUAUGCAGGGUCACGUGCCCCUCCCCCUCAAUUUGCUGCUGGGUUUGUACUGAGCAUACUCACACAGACUGAGCAUGCUCAGUAACACUGCUAAAGCCAGCUGCCCUCACUGCGCCCCCCCCACCCAUCCGCAGCAAGGGUUGUCUCUGGUUCCAGUAUAAAAUACUUCAUCAAUAUAGAGUUAAGAUUGUCACAAUAUGUAUAUUACCAAACCAAACUAAUAUUAGAAUGCAGGGGAAAUUGGGAAACACCAUUCAUAAAUAUAUACAUUAAAAUAGGGAAACCUCAGACUUAUACUUUUGAAAUGCAACUUAAAGAUAAUUUUACGUUUUGGACAUUAUGUGCCAGAGCCUCACCCCAUCUGAGGUUCUGGCCACAGUUCUGUGGAUGCAAACUUUGAACUGUUAGAACCAAGCCACUUAUUAGCUAGAAGAAUCCUAAGGAAAUGCUAGAUUGCAAGUCUACAUUUCAGAAGAAGGACAUUUUAGCUUCUCCUUUCUCCUAAAGUACAGAUUUACUUCUGGAAAAUUAACUCUCUACUCAAAGUGUAAAUGGCUGAACUUUGGUGGGGAUACAUAUUAUUUUUCAUAUAUAACAAAAGAAUCUGGGCCCAGAUCUUUAAAGGUCUUUAGAUGUUGCUGUACUCACUGUUGCAAAACCUAAUUGAUUUAGGAGACUAAAUCGCUCAAACGUGAUUUAGGAGCUUAGGAGUCUGAGCACAGCAGCACCUAAAUACCUUAGAAGUCAACAUCCAUUGACGUCAGUGGGAAUAUCUUUAUUGGCUUUGAUGGGCAUUGGAUUUGGGCCUUGAUUCCCUGCUAUAAUUGCAAAUUUCAGUGCAACCUCUAGAAAGCCUCUAGAAUGAAGUAAAUGAGACUUUGGCAUGAGUAAAGUCUGCAGCAUGAGGCCCAUUAUUUUCUUAAAUAACUUAGAGUAUGCAAAAAUCCAUGACUCUUCAUUACCAUUUUCCCUCCCCAGCUGUGUGCCUAUAUAUUAUGUCUUUUUAUUUAGGUAAUUUGUGCAGUACACUUUUAUCAAAUAAUUGUUCGAAUAGUACACAGUUCCUUCUGGACUUUUCUGUUGAUUCUGAUUACUACCACAUCGACUGCAUAAAAAUGUUCCUUUACUGUAUAAUUAACUUUAUCUGCUUUGCUACAAUGACUUUCACUGUUGAUUACAUGCACUUCAGCUCUUUCACUGCAUUUCUAAGAAUUUAAGAAGUGCUGAUUACCCUUGCCCUGUCUAUGUCCAAACUGGAGGGUUUUCACAUGUGUACAAUUAUAUCUUUUUUUCCUUGCAACAUUCCUGCUGUAAUUUGGAUAUUGAUUAUACCAUGUACAACAGGAUCUUUAAAUAAACCAUCUGCUUGGAAUUCAUUGGAUUUGGCAUUAUUACACGAGCUGGAAGCAUAAUGAUUGCUUGAAUCACCAGGUUGCUGAAUUAUUAGUUUUACAAUUAAGCCUUUCCACUGAGAUGAUCUGAAAUGGAGAAUGGGAUUUGUGAAAUAUUUCAAUAUCUUUGUCCCUACUUUUGGUAUUUUCUAGUGCUUGAUUUAGGUUAGCAAGCUCACAUGCCUCUACUCUGACUUCAUGGAACAGUGUAAUCACCUUUGCCCUCUGAAUAUUUUUUCCUUACAGUUUGCUGCUUUAUUCUAGAUAUCAUUGAAACUGUUGUACCAUAUUUCCAGUUCUCUGCAACCAGGUUCCCUUCUGAGCUCAAGUACUUUGAGGGCUUAAUUUGUUUCACUGUUCUCUUUGCAAAGAAUCCUCUGCUCUUGUGGGGUGAAAAGGAAAACGAUGGAGGAGAUGAUCCUCUUGCAAACACCCAUGGUCAGUGAAUGAAAUUAUCAUAGGAUUUGAUCCUUGAAAUGAGAGCAGUCACUGCCUAGCUGGAGCUCCUACUCUACAAGCGUUUGGUGUGCAAGUGACCUGUUGUUGCCCUCCAGUGGAUAAAGAACCUGCUACUUACAUAACAUAACAGGACAUUAUGGAGUUCUUCAGCACCAUGGCUUUUACUCUCUAUCUGGGGUUUUGGCACUAAAGGACAUGGCUCUAGUCACAGCUGCUCUCCAGGUGUGAUUUAGAUAGAAUAGUCUGUCGGCAUCAUAUGCAUUUGUUACAAGCUUCCUAGAUAAUGCUAGAGGUCAUUUACCUUUUUCCCAGUUAGAAGGACCCCAUUAGAAUUUACUGGAGACUGGACAGAGAGUGCCUGACUCCGCAAAAGCAACACAUAUCCUUGAGAAAGUAGGGAGGAAUUUUUUCAUUUUAUCUGCAGAGUGGGUUUUUUUAAUAAGCUCACAAAGCUUUCUUAAAAGAAAAGCUAUUUUUUCCUCUGAAACAUUUUCAUUUCGUAACUGUGUGCAAUGUCUAACAUCCAGAAAAUCCUUUGCAUGAAAAUGUAGCUAAGAUGUUUCAAAAAGUGAAGUGAGCAGAGCUGAAAAAAAAAAAGAAAAAGAAAACCCUGCCAAAUUUUCUCUGUGCAUAGAGAUUGUGUGUACAUUCUGACCUGUCUGAACCAGAGCAACAGAUAAUAAUUAUAUAUGUGCAAAGGCUCUUUUAGACUAGGGCGAACAACAGGGAGAGAAGCCAAUCCCUAUGUCUCCAUAGAGCUGGAAGAAAUCUCAAAUAUUUCUGGUUGUCUGCAGAACAGCUGGUGAGUUCUCAUCUAUGAAUCUAAUUAAGCAUAUUCCUUGCCACAAACACUUUGAGUUCUAUUUUUGAGAUGCUGAAUGUCUCUCCAGAAUGUAUCCUGGAGCAUAUUGCUUUCAUACAGCAUGCUCCUAAUCCCCAUUGGAAGGCUUUUUUCUGUAGCAAAAUGAAAUUACAGUCAUAGGCUAAACUCAGAAUUCACCCAAGUAAAUAAUAUCGAUUGAUGUCUGGGUAUCAACAAAGCAUCAUGAAUUAAUGAUGGUUGAAUUUAAUGCACUGGACCAUGGAGGCUCCUCUUCAACCUUGGAAGAAUGAUGAGAGCCAAAUCCCAACCUUAAGGCCACAUUUUCAAAGUUUGUCUUGGUCCAGUGGUUAAGGCACUAGCCUAUGACUUAGGUUGGUCCCUGCUCUGCCACACACAUGUUGCCUGAUCUUGGGCAAGUCACUUAGUCUGCCAGUUCCCCACAGCAUUUCCCUACCUCACUGGGGUAUUAUGACGAUAAAUAUGCUACCAUUUUGGAGUGUUCAGAUAUUAUGGUAACGGAGGCUAUCUAAGUCCCUAAAAAGGAUAAAAAUUUUGCUCGCAUGGUCAGUUGCAGAUGCAGUGUUGUGGAGUUCUCAGUUGUGAGCUAGAAUGCAAGUCCUCAGAGGCCAUAAAUAAGUAAAUAAAUAAUUGAGUGCAGAUAUUCUAGUUCACUAUGAUUGUGCAUGUGUGCAAAAUGCAUCAAGUAAAUUAUCUGACUAGCAUUCUUUGAUCAGCUCUAUUGCCUGCAUGGCUGAAGACCAGGUAGUUAGACAUCUCUUACACUGUCUUUUCACCAGUGCAAGCUCACUGACUGUGGUCAGGCUACACUGACAUAAAACUGGUCAGGCCCCUUCUGGGCUGAAGCCCUUUGGAAAAUGUGGCCUCAAAUGAAACCAAACCAUAAGUACUUUACAUCUCUGUAGCAGCUUGUAUUAGAGGGUCCCAAAUCAUUAAUUUAUUCUGGGAUGCUCAUCACCAUAGUAUUUGUUUCAUAACUUCAGACUAACAUUACCCCUGUGAGCUAAGUAAAUCACAUGAUCCCCAUUACCAAAAAGUGAAACGAAGGCCCAGAGACAGGUAGGGCCUUACAGACACUCGCUUGCACAGGGAGAAGGCAGCGCCACUUUGCCUUCACAGAUGUACAUGCCCAUAGCUUCAGACCCUGUGAGGGAUGAAACAUGAGCUCCCGUCACCAGCCAGUCUGCUCCUCUGGAUGUGGUAUGGCAGGCAGGGGCAUGGCCCCACCGCUUCCUGCUCCGUUUGAGAUGGCUAGCACUAUUGGUCAAUAAAGAACUAUAC